This 253-nucleotide ribosomal RNA is filed under the name uncultured bacterium. RNAcentral's name for it is "partial 16S ribosomal RNA". It matches the Rfam family "Bacterial small subunit ribosomal RNA", at positions 524 to 776 of the family's 1533-position model. The record is from RNAcentral.
UACGAAGGGGGCGAGCGUUGUUCGGAUUUACUGGGCGUAAAGGGCGCGUAGGCGGCCCUCUUUGUCGCGUGUGAAAGCCCCGGGCUCAACCUGGGAAUGGCGCGCGAUACGGGGGGGCUUGAGUUCUGGAGAGGAGCGUGGAAUUCCCAGUGUAGAGGUGAAAUUCGUAGAUAUUGGGAAGAACACCGGUGGCGAAGGCGGCGACCUGGUCCGAUACUGACGCUGAGGCGCGAAAGCGUGGGGAGCAAACAGG